RNAcentral lists this ribosomal RNA (408 nucleotides) under uncultured bacterium. RNAcentral describes it as "partial 16S ribosomal RNA". It matches the Rfam family "Bacterial small subunit ribosomal RNA", at positions 28 to 526 of the family's 1533-position model. The record is from RNAcentral.
GACGAACGCUGGCGGCGUGCUUAACACAUGCAAGUCGAACGGAGUGGCGAACGGGUGAGUAACACGUGGGUGACCUGCCCUGCACUUCGGGAUAAGCCCGGGAAACUGGGUCUAAUACCGGAUAGUGUGGGAUGGGCCCGCGGCCUAUCGGCUUGUUGGUGGGGUAAUGGCCUACCAAGGGGGCGCCGGGUAGCCGGCCUGGGAGGGUGGACGGGCACAAUGGGCCUGAGAGACGGCCCAGACGCCAACGGGGGGCAGUAGUGGGGAAUAUUGCACAAUGGGCGGAAGCCUGAUGCAGCGGCGCCGCGGGGGGGAUGACGGUCUUGGGGUUGUAAACUCCUUUCACCAUCGACGCGGUAGAUGGAGAAGAAGCACCGGCUAACUACGUGCCAGCCGCCGCGGUAAUUC